RNAcentral lists this unclassified non-coding RNA (2070 nucleotides) under Leishmania donovani. Its description in RNAcentral is "gene:LdHU3.17.1170(CDS-product:VID27_cytoplasmic_ protein_putative)". Lineage: Eukaryota; Euglenozoa; Kinetoplastea; Trypanosomatida; Trypanosomatidae. The record is from RNAcentral.
UACCACCCCGUGCUGCAGUCGCACGUUGUUUGGAUUCACGUCUUUCCCUGCUGCCUUUGGUGUGUGCCCCCAUUGUGAUGGGCCCUUGUGUUUUCCUUUGUCGUUGCCCUCUGCCUUCCGCCUCACCGUUCUCUCUUUAGAAGUUCUCCAUACCGAUAAGCCCUCCCCCCUCCGUCCCUCUCCCUCUCCCUCUCUCUGUGUCUGUGUGUGUGUGUCUGUGUGUCUAGGCAAUGAUGUCGGCGUCCACCACGGAGCUGUUCACCAACCAGGGUACCCUCUAUCAGUACGCCGGAGAGGAGGGCGAGCACCCUUACUACAAACCCCUCGGCGACGUGGACUGCUUCACCAUCUCCCUGCUGAAGCACAAGAAGACGGCAGGUGCUGCCAGCAGUAACAACAGCAGUGUGGAGUACCUCAUCGCCGUGGCCGAGGACGGGGAGAAGGUCUUUGAGCAACCCAUCGGCGUGGACCUUCAGCUCUCUUACUCCGCCCCAACCGCGUCCGUGCACUGGCCAGCGAUCAUCGAUGAAGAGCUUGAGACCGUUGCCUUUCGCUUCACCGCUCCGGCGGCGCAUGUCGCGCAGGUGACGGCACAGUUGCGCAUGCAACAGUUUGUGGAGCUGUACAACCGCUGUACCUACAGCCUCCUCACCGGCUACGACGAGGUGGAUCCGGAGGACGAGUGGUACAAGUACCUCGGCGCCGCCACCACGCGCGAGGUCUGUAACGAAGAUGCCACGGAGCCCGUGUUCGAGUUCGACCCAAGCCAGUUGACGAAGGCGAGCACCGGUGCCGGCAAUAUUUGCGCCGCGGAGUCGCUACAGUUUAACCGCGUCCUCGUUGUCAAGAAGAGUAACGAGGAGGCCAGUCUGGAGUUGCAGGCGCUGCCGCAGACGGAGCGAGGCUUUGACCGGGCUGCCAUGGAGAAGCUCGUCGUGCACGGCGUCGACGGCACCUCCACAGGAACUCUCCUGGAGAACGGCGACGUCACCAUGCUGCUCUUUGGCGGCUGCAGCGCGGCGGUUCAGCAAUUAGACCUCGCGCGCGGCACUGUGGUGCAGGAGUACAAGCCAGCGGAUCUGCCCGUGCAGAGUGUGGCCUAUGCAAACCACACAGCGGCGAACUCUGGCUCCGUCUACACGUGCCUCGGCCGCAAUGUUGCCUUCAACAUCGACGUCCGCAUGGACCCCCGCAGCUGUGUCGUCAUGGAGGAUGGGAAACAGCCGACAGACUACGCCUUGCCGUCGCUCCGGAAGGACUUCACCUGCCACGCUACCUCGCAGAAUGGCUACCUCGUCAUCGGCGAUGGCUCCGGGAACAUCCGACUCUACACCGGCCCGCCCGGCGCGCGCAAGCCAGCCGGCGGGUACUUCCCGAAAACUGCCAAGACGCUGCUGGACACGAAGGUCCCGAUCGUUGACAUCGACGUCACAGCCGACGGUCAGUAUAUCGUCGCGACCUCCACCUCGUUUCUGCUGUUCAUCGAGACCAAGUACGUGGACAGCAACGACAAAGAGUCGACAGGGUUUCAGACUCGGAUGGGAGCGAGAAAGCCGCAGCCCAUCAUCCUCCAGCCGUCCCCGGAGCAAACACUGCGUAUGGGUGGGGCAAGCAUGGUGCACUUCCAAAGCGCGAAGUUCGACCGCUUUCCUGGCACCAAGGAGCUGUGCGUGACCGCCAGCUGCGGGGACUACCUUCUGACGUGGUCGCUGCGUGCGAUUGAGUCGUCGCAGCAGAGCGGCCGCGCCGUGGUAAACUCCGCCGUGGCGGUAGGGCAGACCGUGUUGUCGACCUCUGCAAACCGUGCGUCGCACGUCGGCUUCCUUACCAGCAACGACGUCGGGGUCGUACCCGUGCAUGAAGCAAAGAAGGAGGUGAGUCGGACGUGGACAUGGGGGACCGAGUAGGGUUGGCGGCGAUUGCUGCGCUUGCACCUCUGUGCAUCUGGCUGGCAAAGCUCGGCUUCCCCUCCCCGCAGCGCUGCCGGAACCCCCCCCCUCCUGCCGACCCGCAUCGAUUUCCCUUCAUACAAGCGCACACAAAUGCGACCACGCACGUGUUGUCGGGAAG